AUGGAUUUGCAACUCCAUUUGAUCGAAACUAUUACAAACGAUUUUUCAGAGGAUCAAAAAGUUGGCAGUGGUGGGUAUGGAGAAGUUUACAAGGCGGUUUAUAAUGGGAAAGAGAUUGCUGUGAAGAAGCUUCAUCCCUUGCAAGGACUUGACGAUAAGCAAUUUCACAGUGAACUCCUUAACCUUGCCGAGGUGUCUCACAAAAAUAUUAUAAGAUUGGUUGGCUACUGUCACGAAUCGAAGAAUAAAUACAUCAAGCACAAUGGGGAAACUAUAUGGGCGAAAUCAAUGGAGAGGAUUCUCUGCUUUGAAUAUAUGCAGGGUGGAAGCCUCGAAAAACAUAUUGCAGAUGAAUCUUGUAAACUUGACUGGCCCACAUGUUACAAUAUCAUCAGAGGGACUUGUGAGGGCUUAAAUCACCUUCACAGUGCUCCGGACAAACCUAUUUUCCAUUUGGACUUAAAGCCGGAUAACAUAUUGCUAGAUAAGAGCAUGACGCCCAAAAUUGCAGAUCUUGGUUUGUCACGGGUUUUCGCUUCAUCAGAAACACAUCAAACAGAGAUUGUCAAAGGAACACAUGGGUAUAUGCCACCAGAAUACUUACAACAUCGCCUAAUAUCAAAGAAGUUCGAUGUGUUCAGUUUUGGCGCCAUAAUUAUAAAGAUGGUGGCAGGAAAUACUGGGUCUUCCCGUCGUUCUCAGAUGCCUCCCAUGGAGUUUAUUAAGCUUGCAAGUGAAUACUGGACCAAAAGGUUGCAGGCGAUGCCGGCCUCGUACUCGUCACACCAAGUAGACAUCCUUCGAGUCACUAAGUGCGUUGAUAUCGCAUUAAGGUGUGUGGACAAGGACAGAGAUAAAAGGCCUUGUAUUAAGGACAUUCUCCAUGAACUUGAUGAACUAGAAGCUGAGAUACAGAAAAUGUUACAGACAUCAGAUGUUUCAGAAGACCUAACUGUCCAGAGAAGCCGCGACACAAAUGUUGUGUCAGUGGAUCCGACGCUGGAGAUGCGGUUCCUCUUCGAGCCAAGGAAGGACGUAUCAUGCUGCCUGCAGCUGACCAACAAGACGGACGACUUCAUUGCGUUCAACGUAAAGAUAAAUCAAACCAAGUACCACGCAAGGCCAAGCAGAGGAACCAUGCCGCCGUGUUCCAAGAGGUACAUUGCCAUAACGCUGCGAGCGCAAGCGGCGGCACCGCUCAACAUGCGAUGCCACGACAUGCUCCUCGUGCAGAGCACCCGCAUCGACCAAGAGUUGGCAUCAGAUCAUGAGGAGAUUGAUUAUCAAGAAUUGUUCAAGGCGGCCAUGACGGAUAAGGUGGUUGAUGUGGUGAAGCUACCCAUCGUUUAUGUUACAGCGGGCCAAUAG
Molecule: ribosomal RNA, 1368 nt
Filed under: Triticum aestivum (bread wheat)
Lineage: Eukaryota; Viridiplantae; Streptophyta; Magnoliopsida; Poales; Poaceae
Description: partial small subunit ribosomal RNA
Source: RNAcentral